Molecule: long non-coding RNA, 805 nt
Filed under: Parus major (Great Tit)
Lineage: Eukaryota; Metazoa; Chordata; Aves; Passeriformes; Paridae
Description: lncRNA (ENSPMJG00000015308.1)
Source: RNAcentral
GCUUAUUAAACAUACUUUGACAGAGGAGAUUAUAAAAUUGGACAAGAAAAACAAAAAGAUUAACUUGUAAAUCAAUCUCUACAGCAGCCACCAAACUCCCUGAUGUAGUAAACUAUGAAUCAGAACAUAAAGGUGAUAUAAUGCUCAGGUAGUAGGACAGCUGUACUCAGACAUGAUGUGUUGAGAUUCCUCAGUGAGGUGUGUAAGGAUCUUCAGCACUUCAGGUUAAAUAAAAUUAAUGCUUUUUAGUGAAAGGAAAAUGUCUGUGCUUACAGGGCACAUAUCAUGAUCUUGGAACAGACACCAAGGACAAAAUUUAAAUUCAUCUUUCCUACAUUUUCUUCUUUCUUUGUGAACAACUGAAAAAAGCACCUCUCUGUCAAAAAAGGUGCCAGUCCCAUCUCCAACAAGUUGUAAUUCCUACCAUAAUUGAUGUCUAAUUGCUGCAUCAAACUGUAGAAAGACCACUUCUCUGUGAAUGGCUAAAAGCUGGGAUAUUCUGCUGAGAUCCAGUGGAUUCUGGAAGCUGUAAUAAUAUUCUGUAUUCUUGAAGUUCAGUCCCUGCAAUCUCAAGAACAGUAAGUUUAUCAGAUGCCAGGACAAAAGGAAAGAUGUGCAGAGAAACUUUUUACUCCUGAGUUGUAUGUGAGCAGCACUAAAUAUACAGAUAUAUGAAGAGGGGCAUUUCCUGGUGACAGAAAAACAGUCCAGACAUGCAGCACUCACACCCACAGAGAAGAUGGGAAAGUCGGAUGUCUAUUGCCUUAGCACUGAGCAACAAGUGUUUGAAAUCAGCAGUGAAGUG